ACUCAAAUGAAUUGACGGGGGCCCGCACAAGCAGCGGAGCGUGUGGUUUAAUUCGAUGCAACGCGCAGAACCUUACCUGGGUUUGACAUGCGCCCGGUAGGUCGGUCAAAACCGACCGACCCGCAAGGGAAGGCGCACAGAUGCUGCAUGGCUGUCGUCAGCUCGUGCCGUGAGGUGUUGGGUUAAGUCCCGCAACGAGCGCAACCCUUAUCGUCAGUUGUUUUUUUCUGGCGAGACUGCCCGAGAGGGAGGAAGGAAGGGAUGACGUCAAGUCAGCACGGCUCUUAUAUCCAGGGCUACACACACGCUACAAUGGCCGGUACAACGGGUUGCGAAGGGGCGACCUGGAGCCAAUCCCACCAAAGCCGGUCUCAGUUCGGAUCGCAGGCUGCAACUCGCCUGCGUGAAGUCGGAGUUGCUAGUAACUGCUGGUCAGCACACAGCAGUGAAUACGUUCCCGGGCCUUGUACACACCGCCCGU
Molecule: ribosomal RNA, 481 nt
Filed under: uncultured bacterium
Lineage: Bacteria
Description: partial 16S ribosomal RNA
Rfam family: Bacterial small subunit ribosomal RNA
Source: RNAcentral